This 207-nucleotide unclassified non-coding RNA is filed under the name Hevea brasiliensis (rubber tree). Lineage: Eukaryota; Viridiplantae; Streptophyta; Magnoliopsida; Malpighiales; Euphorbiaceae. The record is from RNAcentral.
AUGCUCAAUGCCAAAAAAAAAAAAAUACAAUAUGAUAAACCCUCCAAGGAAUUGAGACCAACCACAGUUAUUGCAUAAACGCCAGAUAAAUUCUGCUUCUUUUAGAACAAAAAAUAAAAUGAAAAAAAGGCAAAACGCCCAAAACUAUAAAUAUAUAUUCAAAAAGCCUCCGAGUCCAAUUACCUGAAAUGGGUACAGGAGCAGCAA